GCUGGGCGUGGUGGCACACGCCUGUAAUCCCAGCGCCUCAGGAGGCGGGGGCAGGAGGAUUGCCAGUUCAAAGCCAGCCUCAGCAAAAAACGAGGUGCUAAGCCACUCAGUGAGACCCUGUCUCUA
This 126-nucleotide small RNA is filed under the name Marmota monax (woodchuck). The record is from RNAcentral. Lineage: Eukaryota; Metazoa; Chordata; Mammalia; Rodentia; Sciuridae.